GACUACAGGGGUAUCUAAUCCUGUUUGCUCCCCACGCUUUCGUGCAUGAGCGUCAGUUUUGGACCAGUUGACCGCCUUCGCCACUGGUGUUCUUUGUGAUAUCUACGCAUUUCACUGCUACACCACAAAUUCCAUCAACCUCUUCCAAACUCAAGAUAAGCAGUAUCAAAAGCAAUUUCACGGUUGAGCCGUGAGAUUUCACUUCUGACUUACAAAUCCGCCUGCGCACCCUUUACACCCAGUAAAUCCGGACAACGCUUGCCACCUACGUAUUACCGCGGCUGCUGGCACGUAGUUAGCCGUGGCUUACUUUCAGGGUACCUUCUCCCUCGACAUAAUCGAGUACUAUUCCCCUGCUACAGAAGUUUACAACCCAAAGGGCCGUCAUCCUUCACGCGGCGUUGCUGCGUCAGAGUUUCCUCCAUUGCGCAAUAUUCCCCACUGCAGCCGCCCGUAGG
This 458-nucleotide ribosomal RNA is filed under the name uncultured bacterium. Its description in RNAcentral is "partial 16S ribosomal RNA". The record is from RNAcentral.